RNAcentral lists this ribosomal RNA (545 nucleotides) under uncultured marine picoplankton. RNAcentral describes it as "SSU rRNA". It matches the Rfam family "Eukaryotic small subunit ribosomal RNA", at positions 599 to 1148 of the family's 1831-position model. The record is from RNAcentral.
GUAUACUAAAGUUGUUGCAGUUAAAAAGCUCGUAGUUGGAUUUCUGGUCUUGGACGGCGGUCCGCCACAAUUGUGGCGCGUACCAACUGUCCGAGUCCAUCCUCGGGGAAGACAUGCCUGUGAUUUAGUUCAUGGGUAUGGAGUCCUCGUCAUUUACUGUGAGCAAAAUAGAGUGUUCAAAGCAGGCUUAUGCCGUUGAAUACAUUAGCAUGGAAUAAUAAGAUAGGACCUUGGUCUAUUUUGUUGGUUUGUACUCCAAGGUAAUGAUUAAUAGGGAUAGUUGGGGGUAUUCGUAUUCAAUUGUCAGAGGUGAAAUUCUUGGAUUUAUGGAAGACGAACUACUGCGAAAGCAUUUACCAAGGAUGUUUUCAUUAAUCAAGAACGAAAGUAAGGGGAUCGAAGAUGAUUAGAUACCAUCGUAGUCUUUACCAUAAACUAUGCCGACUAGGGAUUGGUGGACGUUUGUAACGACUCCAUCAGCACCUUAUGAGAAAUCAAAGUCUUUGGGUUCCGGGGGGAGUAUGGUCGCAAGGCUGAAACUUAAA